GUGAAUCAUCAAAUUUUUGAACGCAAAUUGCACUCUUUGGUAUUCCGGAGAGUAUGCCUGUUUGAGGGUCAGUAUAUAUAAAAAUUGGUGUGGUUGCUGCCUUUCGUGGUGACGCAACGGAUGUGGGUCGUCUUGACUUCGGUUAAGUGACUUAAAAUUUUGCAUGAUAUUUUCGAUCGUAUUUAAAUGAUUUUAGGUAAGUUUGCG
Molecule: unclassified non-coding RNA, 207 nt
Filed under: Glomeraceae sp.
Lineage: Eukaryota; Fungi; Glomeromycota; Glomeromycetes; Glomerales; Glomeraceae
Description: partial contains 5.8S ribosomal RNA and internal transcribed spacer 2
Rfam family: 5.8S ribosomal RNA (bases 1-71)
Source: RNAcentral